GCCUCGGUAGUCUAAAGGCUUAGGACGCUCGCACGGAAUGCAAGAGAUCCGGGUUCGACUUCCGGCCGAGGUA
RNAcentral lists this transfer RNA (73 nucleotides) under Trachymyrmex cornetzi. It matches the Rfam family "tRNA". From Rfam's summary of the family: Transfer RNA (tRNA) molecules are approximately 80 nucleotides in length. Their secondary structure includes four short double-helical elements and three loops (D, anti-codon, and T loops). The record is from Rfam by way of RNAcentral. Lineage: Eukaryota; Metazoa; Arthropoda; Insecta; Hymenoptera; Formicidae.